CACUGCCGAGAAAAGCCUCUAGAUAGAAAAUAGGUGCCCGUACCGCAAACCGACACAGGUAGUCAAGAUGAGAAUUCUAAGGUGAGCGAGCGAACUCUCGUUAAGGAACUCGGCAAAAUGACCCCGUAACUUCGGGAGAAGGGGUGCUCUUUAGGGUUAACGCCCAGAAGAGCCGCAGUGAAUAGGCCCAAGCGACUGUUUAUCAAAAACACAGGUCUCUGCUAAACCGUAAGGUGAUGUAUAGGGGCUGACGCCUGCCCGGUGCUGGAAGGUUAAGAGGAGUGGUUAGCUUCUGCGAAGCUACGAAUCGAAGCCCCAGUAAACGGCGGCCGUAACUAUAACGGUCCUAAGGUAGCGAAAUUCCUUGUCGGGUAAGUUCCGACCCGCACGAAAGGCGUAACGAUUUGGGCACUGUCUCAACGAGAGACUCGGUGAAAUCAUAGUACCUGUGAAGAUGCAGGUUACCCGCGACAGGACGGAAAGACCCCGUGGAGCUUUACUGUAGCCUGAUAUUGAAAUUCGGCACAGCUUGUACAGGAUAGGUAGGAGCCUUUGAAACGUGAGCGCUAGCUUACGUGGAGGCGCUGGUGGGAUACUACCCUAGCUGUGUUGGCUUUCUAACCCGCACCACUUAUCGUGGUGGGAGACAGUGUCAGGCGGGCAGUUUGACUGGGGCGGUCGCCUCCUAAAAGGUAACGGAGGCGCUCAAAGGUUCCCUCAGAAUGGUUGGAAAUCAUUCAUAGAGUGUAAAGGCAUAAGGGAGCUUGACUGCGAGACCUACAAGUCGAGCAGGGUCGAAAGACGGACUUAGUGAUCCGGUGGUUCCGCAUGGAAGGGCCAUCGCUCAACGGAUAAAAGCUACCCCGGGGAUAACAGGCUUAUCUCCCCCAAGAGUUCACAUCGACGGGGAGGUUUGGCA
This 919-nucleotide ribosomal RNA is filed under the name Staphylococcus aureus. Its description in RNAcentral is "partial 23S ribosomal RNA". It matches the Rfam family "Bacterial large subunit ribosomal RNA", at positions 1603 to 2523 of the family's 2925-position model. Lineage: Bacteria; Bacillati; Bacillota; Bacilli; Caryophanales; Staphylococcaceae. The record is from RNAcentral.